UACAGAGACUGCAAGCGUUGUUCGGAUUCAUUGGGCGUAAAGGGUUCGUAGGCGGUGCGGCAAGUUGGGAGUGACAUCUCUGGGCUUAACCCAGAGGCUGCUUUCAAAACUGCCGUGCUCGAGUGCGAGAGAGGUCAGUGGAAUUGCAGGUGUAGCGGUGAAAUGCGUAGAUAUCUGCAGGAACACCCGUGGCGAAGGCGGCUGACUGGAUCGCAACUGACGCUGAGGAACGAAAGCUAGGGGAGCAAGCAGG
RNAcentral lists this ribosomal RNA (253 nucleotides) under uncultured bacterium. RNAcentral describes it as "partial 16S ribosomal RNA". It matches the Rfam family "Bacterial small subunit ribosomal RNA", at positions 524 to 776 of the family's 1533-position model. The record is from RNAcentral.